GCCUAUACAUGCGAGUCGAGCGGACAGAAGGGAGCUUGCUCCCGGAUGUUAGCGGCGGACGGGUGAGUAACACGUGGGUAACCUGCCUGUAAGACUGGGAUAACUCCGGGAAACCGGAGCUAAUACCGGAUAGUUCCUUGAACCGCAUGGUUCAAGGAUGAAAGACGGUUUCGGCUGUCACUUACAGAUGGACCCGCGGCGCAUUAGCUAGUUGGUGAGGUAACGGCUCACCAAGGCGACGAUGCGUAGCCGACCUGAGAGGGUGAUCGGCCACACUGGGACUGAGACACGGCCCAGACUCCUACGGGAGGCAGCAGUAGGGAAUCUUCCGCAAUGGACGAAAGUCUGACGGAGCAACGCCGCGUGAGUGAUGAAGGUUUUCGGAUCGUAAAGCUCUGUUGUUAGGGAAGAACAAGUGCAAGAGUAACUGCUUGCACCUUGACGGUACCUAACCAGAAAGCCACGGCUAACUACGUGCCAGCAGCCGCGGUAAUACGUAGGUGGCAAGCGUUGUCCGGAAUUAUUGCGCGUAAAGGGCUCGCAGGCGGUUUCUUAAGUCUGAUGUGAAAGCCCCCCGGCUCACCCGGGGAGGGUCAUUGGAAACUGGGAAACUUGAGUGCAGAAGAGGAGAGUGGAAUUCCACGUGUAGCGGUGAAAUGCGUAGAGAUGUGGAGGAACACCAGUGGCGAAGGCGACUCUCUGGUCUGUAACUGACGCUGAGGAGCGAAAGCGUGGAGAGCGAACAGGAUUAGAUACCCUGGUAGUCCAACGCUGUACAACGAUGAGUGCUAAGUGUUAGGGGGUCUCCCGCCCCCUUUAGCAGCUGCAGCUUAACGCAUUAAGCACUCCCGCCCUGAGAAGUACGCUCGCAAUACUGACAACUCAAAAGUGAAUUAGACGGGCGGCCCAGCAACAAUCAGGUCGCAAGCUAUG
Molecule: ribosomal RNA, 933 nt
Filed under: Bacillus altitudinis
Lineage: Bacteria; Bacillati; Bacillota; Bacilli; Caryophanales; Bacillaceae
Description: bacterial SSU rRNA
Rfam family: Bacterial small subunit ribosomal RNA
Source: RNAcentral